AAGGCUCUUGGUGAUGCCCUAGCACCUGCCUGGCCCCUGUGUUGGCUCUCCCACAGGUGUGUGGGAUAUAGGCAGCUUUUAAAGAUGUUUAAGAUAUCCUAUAGUGUGUUAUACAUCCACAGGUACCCUGUGGGCAGGCAGCUGACCCCUGAAUCCCAAAGGCAGCGCUCUGCCAUAAAACUGCUGGGCUGAACUCCUCAGCUGCUGCUGGUGGCCUCGCGUCUCUGGAAAUGGUGCUUUGGGUCAGGUCGGAUGAAGCAGCAGCAGAGGGAGCUGGUCGGCCGGUGGAUGCUUGAAAAGCAGCGCUUAAAGAUGUUCUCAUUUUGCUGAGCACUUCGGGGCUGAGCAGGAUUUGUGCCCUGCUGCUGUGUGCUGGGUUGGGCGUGCCCUUGCCUGGAGCUGCUGAGCCUCGCAUGGGGACAUGGAGGGGAAAAGUCUGACUCAGGAGGUGUUCUUAUUUCUGUCUGGUACAGCUCUGCAGGGCUGGGUGAAGUUUCAGCUCUCCUGAGAGGUUGUAUCCUCCAGGAAAAGGUGCUCAGAUCUGCUGGAUUUCCCAGAAAGGGGCAUUUUGGCUGCUCAAGGAGAGGGCUGCUUCAGCUCCUCUAGAUCUGGCUGGGUUUUCUUCAUUCAAAAAAACAUUCCGGCUUAAGCACUCAGCAUUCAAAUGGGAUUUGACACUGGUUUUCCUUGCAAAUUGUGGCUCUAGGGCAGAUGGGAAUGAGAUCUCUCCGAUGCACUGUGAAAGCUGCUAUGCUCUGGGCUUCAUCCAGCAUGUCUCUAAGCCUUCCCUGGCGGUGCCAAGUCCCUGGUCCCCUGGAAAGGUUGGGCAUCAGCAUCCUGAGGAGAGGUGUGCGUGGGGUCCCUCUCCUUUCACCCGCAUUUUCUGAUGCAUCUGUUCUUCAUCAGGGUAUACGUGAGCUCCAGAGAGAGCUGGGAGAGCCUGAGCCUUCUCAGAGACCUCCGUGCCUUUGGGAACAUCUCCCUGUAUGCCUUUCUAGGGUCACACAGCCGACGUGAGGUACUGCAGGGAGCGAGGAGCCAGUGCAGCACGACAUCAAGUCCUCUCUAAGGGGACUUGAGAGCAAGGAGCACGGUGGGGUCACCUCCGUCCCCGGCACGGAGCGGAAGGCUCUGUCCUGGUGUCAACCCCAGUGACUGCAGAGCGAGGGCCAGAACGUUCCCUGGGCUGGAGCCGAGCCUUGCUGAGGUCAGAUAUCCAGGGGUAGGAAUAAUAAUGUGUCCCCAAGGAUGUCUGAUAGACCAAUGGCUGUGUGUCCCUAAUGCCCGGCCGCACAAAGCACGUUGAUGCAGCACAAGUGCAGCAACACAGGUGCCAAGCUCUUGCAAUUCAUGUGCUCGUAGCUCCAGAAAAGCCACAUCUUAGCUCCACGCUUCCCCCUGUGAGGGCUGGCCUUAAUUGGGAUCUCCAUGUUCAUUCUGAAUUAUUCAUAAAUAAGGGUUCUUUCAUACACACCGAUUUUGCUUAUCCUGCUUUGUAUCUGGCGUCUUGCAUCUCAGGCUGGCUCUGCUAAUUAAUUGGCACCUAUGAGAUUACGAGGCAAAAAAAUCCCUCCAAGUCUUUCUGAGAGCUUUGUAUCUGAAUUCACAGACUGAGGUCUGAGCUUCUGCCUACUAUUAAUAUUCAUUAAAUAAUAUUUAUCCUUA
Oxyura jamaicensis (ruddy duck) is the source of this 1665-nucleotide long non-coding RNA. RefSeq lists it as uncharacterized. The transcript is spliced from 2 exons. NCBI's taxonomy places the organism in Eukaryota, Metazoa, Chordata, Aves, Anseriformes, Anatidae. The record is from RefSeq and is a predicted model, not a curated record.